CAGGGGUGGCAACCCACUCGGUCCUGUUCCACAUUGUGGAAGCUUUGUUCUUUUGCCAUUUGCAAUAAAUCUUGCUGCUGCUCACUCUUUGGGUCCACACUGCCUUUAUGAGCUGUAACACUCACCACGAAGGUCUGCAGCUUCACUCAUGAAGCCAGCGAGACCAUGAACCCACUGGGAGGAACGAAGAACUCCAGACGCACCGCCUUAAGAGCUGUAACACUCACUACGAAGGUCUGCAGCUUCACUCCUGAUCCAGCGAGACCACGAACCCACCAGAAGGAAGAAACUCCGAACAUAUCUGGACGUCAGACGGAACAAACUCCGGACACGCUGCCUUUAAGAACUGUAACACUCACCGCGAGGGUCUGCAGCUUCGUUCUUGAAGUCAGUGAGACCAAGAACCCACCAAUUACGAACACAGGACGACUCUAUUGGAUCUGGAAAUAAAUCACUUCAUGUGGUAUUGUUUCAUCUUUAUUGGUUCUUCUUUUUCACAAAUUUAUAGAAGUACCAACACUUAAGGGUGAAGAAAAAUAUAAAGUCACAUAUGACUCCUGGCAUAAUGAUUUGCCUUUUGGAUCAGGACUCGAACAUCAAUACCUUAUCAACGCCGCUCUCUGCUGGCGUCCCUGGCUCUUCAUUGACCUUGUCUUCCUUUUGUGCCUGAAAUGCUUUCAUGAUGGACUGGAUCUUCUCUCACCCCUGAGCACUCUGCCUUUUAUCCUGAAAUCCAUGCCGUUAGCCAUUUUUUCCACUCCCUUAGCUCAAGACCUGUCUUUUUGUAUCCUGUUUGGCUUUCUCGCUAUUCCUUGAUUUCUUUUCACUCCUCUGUAUUCAUGCUGACCUUUUUUUUUUUUUCUUGCUUAUUUAUUGCUUGAUGGCAUUCAUCACCUCUGGGUAUAGAAUCAUUUAUCCACUAUGUCUCCUUUCUUCCCGCUUGAACUUCACUCAAUGUUACCUUUAUUUCCCCCUGAUUCUACUCUGCUGUAAUCUGACUUUCCAUUAUUAUUCUUAUCAGCAGUCUGUUAUUUAUAGAGCGGAGAAAUAAGAUAAGCUCCUUCUAAUAUAGAUGGGGCACAGGCAAUGUAGCUGGGAAUAAGAAAUGUAAAAAGGAAGGCAGAGCUGCAAAAAGCAGAGCUCCAGGGGCAUUGCUGAUGGCUGGAUGAAAAGGGAACUGCAGAAAGGAUUUAGGGUAGAAAAGUGAGAUAGCAUUGGGAGAUAUGCCUAAUGCUAGAUGAUGAGUUAGUGGGUGCAGUGCACCAGCAUGGCACAUGGAUACAUAUGUAACUAACCUGCACAAUGUGCACAUGUACCCUAAAACUUAAAGUAUAAUAAAAAAAAAAAAAAAGAAAA
Molecule: long non-coding RNA, 1356 nt
Filed under: Homo sapiens (human)
Lineage: Eukaryota; Metazoa; Chordata; Mammalia; Primates; Hominidae
Description: novel transcript
Source: RNAcentral